RNAcentral lists this ribosomal RNA (1285 nucleotides) under uncultured bacterium. RNAcentral's name for it is "partial 16S ribosomal RNA". It matches the Rfam family "Bacterial small subunit ribosomal RNA", at positions 88 to 1399 of the family's 1533-position model. The record is from RNAcentral.
UAAGUUAGUGGCGGACGGGUGAGUAACGCGUGGGUAACCUGCCUCACACAGGGGGAUAACAGUUAGAAAUAGCUGCUAAUACCGCAUAAGCGCACAGUGCUGCAUGGCACAGUGUGAAAAACUCCGGUGGUAUACGAUGGACCCGCGUCUGAUUAGCUAGUUGGUGAGGUAACGGCCCACCAAGGCGACGAUCAGUAGCCGGCCUGAGAGGGUGAACGGCCACAUUGGGACUGAGACACGGCCCAAACUCCUACGGGAGGCAGCAGUGGGGAAUAUUGCACAAUGGGGGAAACCCUGAUGCAGCGACGCCGCGUGAGUGAAGAAGUAUUUCGGUAUGUAAAGCUCUAUCAGCAGGAAAGAAAAUGACGGUACCUGACUAAGAAGCUCCGGCUAAAUACGUGCCAGCAGCCGCGGUAAUACGUAUGGAGCAAGCGUUAUCCGGAUUUACUGGGUGUAAAGGGAGCGUAGACGGUUUGGCAAGUCUGAAGUGAAAACCCAGGGCUCAACCCUGGGACUGCAUUGGAAACUAUGCAGCUAGAGUGUCGGAGAGGUAAGCGGAAUUCCUAGUGUAGCGGUGAAAUGCGUAGAUAUUCGGAGGAACACCAGUGGCGAAGGCGGCUUGCUGGGCUCUAACUGACGCUGAGGCCCGAAAGCGUGGGGAGCAAACAGGAUUAGAUACCCUGGUAGUCCACGCCGUAAACGAUGAUUACUAGGUGUGGGGGGUCUGACCCCUUCCGUGCCGCAGUUAACGCAAUAAGUAAUCCACCUGGGGAGUACGGCCGCAAGGCUGAAACUCAAAGGAAUUGACGGGGGCCCGCACAAGCAGUGGAUUAUGUGGUUUAAUUCGAAGCAACGCGAAGAACCUUACCAGGUCUUGACAUCUCCUGCAUAGCCUAGAGAUAGGUGAAGUCCUUCGGGACAGGAUGACAGGUGGUGCAUGGUUGUCGUCAGCUCGUGUCGUGAGAUGUUGGGUUAAGUCCCGCAACGAGCGCAACCCUUGCCAUUAGUUGCUACGCGAGAGCACUCUAAUGGGACCGCUACCGACAAGGUGGAGGAAGGUGGGGAUGACGUCAAAUCAUCAUGCCCCUUAUGACCUGGGCUACACACGUAAUACAAUGGCCAUCAACAGAGGGUCGCAAUACCGUGAGGUGGAGCCAAUCCCUAAAAAUGGUCUCAGUUCGGAUCGCAGGCUGCAACCCGCCUGCGUGAAGCUGGAAUUGCUAGUAAUCGCGGAUCAGCAUGCCGCGGUGAAUACGUUCCCGGGCCUUGCACACACCGCCCGUCA